This is a long non-coding RNA of Pygocentrus nattereri (red-bellied piranha), 1121 nucleotides long. The record is from Ensembl. NCBI's taxonomy places the organism in Eukaryota, Metazoa, Chordata, Actinopteri, Characiformes, Serrasalmidae.
GGGUGAACAAAAAAUGGCCGAUUUGCCUGUUGAAAGGUUGACUCCUGAUCUUCCUCCAUUUACUAAUGUUGGAGUUGAUUACUUCGGGCCAUUUGAAGUAAAACGAGGACGUUCCUUUGUAAAGCGAUAUGGUGUUAUUUUUACGUGCAUGGCUAGUAGAGCCAUACAUUUAGAAGUGGCCUAUUCUUUGGAUACAGAUGCAUGUAUUAAUGCCAUUCGAAGAUUCAUUUGCAGAAGAGGACAAGUCUCUCAUUUGAGAUCAGACAAUGGAACCAAUUUCACUGGUGCAGAAAGGGAAUUAAAAGAAGCAUUGGCAGCUUUAAACCAUGAUAAGAUUCAGAAAGUCUUUCUGCAGGAAGGAAUCAAAUGGAGCUUUAAUGCACCUACAGCCUCCCAUCACGGCGGUGCAUGGGAGCGAAUCAUUAGGAUGGUGAAAAAGAUUCUUACAUCCCUUUUGCACCAGCAGACUUUAGAUGAUGAGGGGUUACACACAGUUUUAUGUGAAGUGGAAGCGAUCAUUAAUGAUCGCCCAAUCACCAAAUUGUCUGAGGAUCCAAAUGACUUAGAGCCUCUUACCCCCAACCAUCUUCUUACUAUGAAAAGGAAACCAGUCUUGCCUCCAGGGCUAUUUGAUAGGACUGAUAUGUAUGGAAAAAGAAGGUGGAGACAAGUGCAGUACAUCUCUGACCUUUUUUGGAAAAGGUGGAUUACAGAGUACUUGCCUUUACUACAGGAACGACAAAAAUGGACCAAGAAGAAACGAAAUCUGGUGCCUGGCGAUAUAGUUCUGGUUGCAGAUACCACAGCUCCUCGUAAUUCCUGGGUACUUGGCAGGGUAUUUAAAAUAUACCCAGAUAAGAAAGGGCUGGUUAGAUCAGCACAAGUACAAACCAAAACCAGUCUCUUGACCAGACCAAUAACAAAACUUUGCCUUUUACUAGAGGGGUUAUGAGGUAUCGUAUAUAGGAACACAUUUUGUAUGUAUAUAGUUUGAAGUAUGGUAUUACUUUGGCUCCUUAUAUUGUUGUAUUAGUCAUUAAAUUGUUUAUGCCUUUUGUCAUUAACAAUUAGGGGCCGGUGUGUUGGAGCCAUUUAUGUUUUCUUUAAACUUAUGUUUAUUU